AAUACCCCUCAAAUCUCAGCUGAGAUGACAACUUUUGAGAAGCAUUUGAUUGAGAGAAAAGUCUUAGAAAGUCUUAGCAAGUCUUGUUUUCAAUUUGCUAGAGAGUUCUCCUCCUUCUUUCUCAUUGAAAAUCUGUAAGAGGUUGAGCUGCUUGUAAAAGGUUGUAAGAGGGGUAUUUACCCUUCCAUUUCAAGGGAUUUGCUAGUGGAAGGUGGGAGCCUCAUCGAAGAGGGGCCUCGCAAGUGGAGUAGGUCAUUUGACCAAACCACUCUAAAAUCGGCGUAAUCUCUGGUUUGC
RNAcentral lists this long non-coding RNA (297 nucleotides) under Musa acuminata (dwarf banana). RNAcentral's name for it is "long non-coding RNA (MACU_LNC011553)". Lineage: Eukaryota; Viridiplantae; Streptophyta; Magnoliopsida; Zingiberales; Musaceae. The record is from RNAcentral.